GGGUUGUGAGGUUAAGCGACUAAGCGUACACGGUGGAUGCCCUGGCAGUCAGAGGCGAUGAAGGACGUGCUAAUCUGCGAUAAGCGUCGGUAAGGUGAUAUGAACCGUUAUAACCGGCGAUUUCCGAAUGGGGAAACCCAGUGUGAUUCGUCACACUAUCAUUAACUGAAUCCAUAGGUUAAUGAGGCGAACCGGGGGAACUGAAACAUCUAAGUACCCCGAGGAAAAGAAAUCAACCGAGAUUCCCCCAGUAGCGGCGAGCGAACGGGGAGCAGC
This 276-nucleotide ribosomal RNA is filed under the name Escherichia coli. RNAcentral describes it as "partial 23S ribosomal RNA". It matches the Rfam family "Bacterial large subunit ribosomal RNA", at positions 1 to 268 of the family's 2925-position model. The record is from RNAcentral. RNAcentral also lists the same sequence under 2 other names. Lineage: Bacteria; Pseudomonadati; Pseudomonadota; Gammaproteobacteria; Enterobacterales; Enterobacteriaceae.